GCUCCUGACCAGUGUCCUGGCACCUUGAACUUCCCAUCAACCCUCUUGCUUCCCUCUGCUGCCGGAGAAGGACAAACUCCUCAGCCUGUCACCAAAGCCCCCUCCAUCCGCUGGGCCCCCCGGCAAGCUUUAUCUCCUCCAGCAGACAGAGGAGUGCCAGGAUAACGAGGGAAGCUGGAACAUGAGCCUGCGUAGGGGUGGAUCCCUGCGUCAACUGAGUUUUCUCAUGAUUUGGGGAGUGACUAUUGUGCAGUAGCCUAUGCCUUUUAUCCUAAAGACAUUUUAUUUUUUUGCGUUUGGAAUUGGAGGUACCAAGUGAUUUCCUUUCUGGUUUCUCUCUCUCUCUGUCCCAAUUCCAUCCUUUUCUCUGUGAGUAUGUCCCUUUGCCCCAAAGGUGAUUCCAUGUGGACGACAGGCUGCCACCCUUCCAGCCCUGGUGUCCUGAUUCAGGGCUGUGAAUGUAAUUCUGGGUGGGGAAAUAGAGCUGCGAUCUCGUUGGUCUUUUGCGGGGCAAAGGAGGGCAGCCUCUCUUUGUCUCACACUUGUACCAUGUGGUCCGGGAGGUGGCCCCAAUAGAGAGCCCAAAGACGGGCUGAUCACAUCGCUUCUUCUAGGCAUGGACUUGCAGGCAUAAUUUUGGUGGGAUUCAUAACCACAGGGCCAUGUGGUUUUUUUGCCUGCAUUUUCUUAGGGGAGGGGGAAGGGGAAGAGAAAAUUCUCUGAGUGGCCGCUGUUGAUAUGAGCUUGCAGCAGCGACGAUAAUAACCAGGUCCCCUAUCUGUCUCAGAAAACCGGGACCCAUGCUGGGCUGUGAGUGUGCGGCUGUGAUCUGGUGUGCAAAGGUGUUCAGAAAAAAGCCCAAAUGUGACACUUUGAGAAGGAGUGAGGCUUGAGGCUUUGCUUUAUAGCUUUUGGUUUCUAUUGUCAAAAUUUGGACUUCAGAGCACUUUCUAAGUGGGGAGCUGUGACUUGGCCCGUGGCCUGACCAAACCCAGGUUACAGAAAAGGGCUUUCCAGAAAGAUUUUAUUCUAGAAAUUAACAUAUACAGAGUUCCCAUUGUGGCUCAGUGGGUUAAAAACCCAUCUGGUAUCAAUGAGGACACAGGUUCAAUCCCUGGCCUCUCUGAGUGGGUUAAGGAUCUGGCAUUACCAUGAGCUGUGGUGUAGGUCGCAGAAGGCGCUCAGAUCUGGCAUUGCUGUGGCUGUGGUGUAGGCCAGCAGCUAUAGCUCCGAUUCGACCCCUAGCCUGGGAACCUCCAUAUGUAUGCAGUGGGUGUGGCCCUAAAAAGAGAAAACAAAACAAACAAAAAUGUGCAACUAAGUAUAACUUGGGGCUUAAGCCUUCUGACUCUGGAGGCUGCCUGCUGUCCGAUCCCAGUUCCACCAGCAGCUGGACCUCAUGGUCUGUUAAUACAAAAACAGCCUCCUUUUAACCAUCUGUACAGGUGCAGAAAGUCAUAAUUCCUGUCUCAGGAGACUGUUGGGAAGGUUAAAGGGGAUGCCCCCGGGGAGUGCCCAGCUCGGGGACCAGGUCUACAGAUGCUCUUAGGAAAGCUAGGCCUUCUUUAAACUACCAGCGUUAGCAAGUAAGAUUGCAAGAUACAGUCCUAUUUGAACUCACUACACAGAGUGGAAGUGUCAGAACGUACAGUGUAGACCAACCCGAGUGUCAGUGCCCUAUUAGAUUUUAUUUUAUUUUAUUUUUUGCUUUUUAGGGCUGCUCCUGCAGCAUAUGGAAGUUUCCAGGCUAGGGAUCGAAUGGGAGCUGCAGCUGCUGGGCUACGUCUCAGCCACAGCAACGCAGGAUCCUUAACCCACUGAGCAAGCCCAGGGAUGGAACCUAUACCCUCAUAGACAUCAUGUCGGGUUCUUCAUCUGCUGAGCCAUAACGGGAACUCAGAUUUUAAACACCUCGAGGGCAAAGGCCAUGUUCCAAUAUUUCACCAAAGAAUGAUACAGACUUCAUCACAUGACCAAGAAAUCCCAAGGUGCCUCAUUUGGAGGAAAGCAAAAUUGACCCAACACGGAGGGGCUUCAGCGGAACACCAGGGCCCAGAGUCAGGACCUCACCCCCCAAGCUCGGGCGCGUCUCCAACAGGAAUAGUACGGAAGGCUCCUGGGUCCGGGUUCCGGCCAUCAGAGGUGAGGGCUUCAGUUCCACGCCUGUCACUGCAUUUCAGCCACAGACCACCCGCCUCCCCAGACACACCUGUGGAUAAAUCAUAGAAGAAACGGGUUUAAUGCUCAACGCCGAAGGGGGCAGGGUCCAUCCCAAGAACCAGGCAGCAUCUUAGCAGAGCAUUUGCUGUGUUAGGUGACCUGGCGGAAGAUUCAAUGCAGCAGGCUAUGCCCUGAUUAGACGCUGCCAGCGAGUCGGGGGAUGCCAGGGCGGGGGUCUGUACGAAUCCUCCGCAUAACGGGGGUGGGGGCGAAGCGAGGCCUCAGCUUCGGGGAAGAACAGAAGCCACUCACAUUGGCCAGGCAGGGGGAUGUCUGGCGUUUCUACAGCUGGAAGAAUGCUCUUGUUUUUGUUUGGGGGGGGCAUGCUCGUGGCAUGCAGAAAUUCCCAGGCCAGGGAUCCAACCCACACCGCAGGAGUUGCCGUUGUGGCCCAGUGGUAAUGAAUCUGACCAGUAUCCAUGAGGACGCAGGUUCAAUCCCUGGCCUUGCUCAGUGGGUUAAAGAUCCAGUGUUACCGUGAGCUGUGGUGUAGUCCCAGAAGCGGCUUGGAUUUGAUGUGGCUGUGGCUGUGGUGUAGUCUGGUGGCUGCAGCUCUGAUUCAACCCUUAGCCUGGGAACUUCCAUAUGUGGCCCUGAAAAACAAAACCAAACAAAACCCCCACACUACAGCUGGGAUACAAGCCACAGCAGUGACCACACCAGAUCCUUACCCACUAGGCCACCAGGGAACUCCCAGAAAGCUCCUGCUUUUAUCUGAGCUUAGAGAAGCACGCAGAGUGGCCUCUUGUCUGGUGCUGGUGUCCUGAGAGAUAACGUUCAGCAGGACACUGGCUUAGCCGCGGGUGCCAGGCCAAUCCUAGUCACACCAAGGCCGAGCUGUGUCACUUUCCAGAUGUCAGGGGACCUGCUUGUCUCUUUUUCAUGUUUUCAGUACUUACUCUAUUUGUACAUGUUCACGAAGCAGGUUUAUGAGCACUUCCUGUGUAUGGGAGUUCCCGCUGUGGCUCAGUGGUAAUGAACCCGACUAGGAUCCAUGAGGAUGCGGGUUUGAUCCCUGGCCUCACUUGGUGGGUUAAGGAUCCAGUGUUGCUGGGAGUUGCAGUGUAGGCUGUAAUGCAGCUCGGAUCCCGCAUUGCUGUGGCUGUGGUGUAGGCUGGCAGGUGCAGCUCCCAUUUGACCCCUAUCCUAGGAACCUCCAUAUACUGCAAGUGUGGCCCUGAAAAGAAAAAAAAUCCUGGGUAGAAGGUCACUUAGAAGCUGUGCGAAGCUGGGCGGGUUACUUCCCCUCUUGGCGUGUCAGGCUCCUCCAUCCUUUCUCGCUGCAGUGUGACUGAUACCUGCUCUUAGGGAUGUCGUGGAAACGCCAUGAGCUCACACCUGUUCCUGGCAGAGAGUCAGUGGUUUUAAAAUGUCAGCUCUUUUUGAAGGGAGCCCCUCUGUAUAUAUCUGCCUCCAGGACUGGCUCAUUUUCAGACAUGAAUCAAAGGCACUCGCUCCUUCUGCCUCAUUUUAUUGCCUUGUAUCUUGGGCACUAUUUUAAAAAAUCCUUUCAUUACCAAGAUUAGAGACUUGGGGGAGUUCCCAUCGUGGCUGAGUGGGAAAAAAAAUCCGACUAGGAACCAUGAAGAUACAGGUUCGAUCCCUGGCCUCACUCCGUGGGUGAAGGAUCCGGUGUUGCCGUGAGCUGUGGUGUAGGUCGCAGACACAGCUCGGAUCCCGAGUGGCUGUGGCUGGGGUGUAGGCCGGUGGCUACAGCUCCGAUUCGACCCCUAGCCUGGGAACCUCCAUAUGCCGCGGG
RNAcentral lists this long non-coding RNA (3979 nucleotides) under Sus scrofa (pig). Its description in RNAcentral is "lncRNA (ENSSSCG00000053979.1)". Lineage: Eukaryota; Metazoa; Chordata; Mammalia; Artiodactyla; Suidae. The record is from RNAcentral.